RNAcentral lists this ribosomal RNA (732 nucleotides) under Thrombium epigaeum. RNAcentral describes it as "SSU rRNA". It matches the Rfam family "Eukaryotic small subunit ribosomal RNA", at positions 118 to 870 of the family's 1831-position model. The record is from RNAcentral. Lineage: Eukaryota; Fungi; Ascomycota; Lecanoromycetes; Protothelenellaceae.
UAUUUGAUAGURCCUUACUACUUGGAUAACCGUGGUAAUUCUAGAGCUAAUACAUGCUAAAAACCUCAACUUCGGAAGGGGUGUAUUUAUUAGAUAAAAAACCAAUGCCCUUCGGGGCUCCUUGGUGAUUCAUAAUAACUUAACGAAUCGCAUGGCCUUGCGCCGGCGAUGGUUCAUUCAAAUUUCUGCCCUAUCAACUUUCGAUGGUAGGAUAGUGGCCUACCAUGGUAUCAACGGGUAACGGGGAAUUAGGGUUCUAUUCCGGAGAGGGAGCCUGAGAAACGGCUACCACAUCCAAGGAAGGCAGCAGGCGCGCAAAUUACCCAAUCCCGACACGGGGAGGUAGUGACAAUAAAUACUGAUACAGGGCUCUUUUGGGUCUUGUAAUUGGAAUGAGUACAAUUUAAAUCCCUUAACGAGGAACAAUUGGAGGGCAAGUCUGGUGCCAGCAGCCGCGGUAAUUCCAGCUCCAAUAGCGUAUAUUAAAGUUGUUGCAGUUAAAAAGCUCGUAGUUGAACCUUGGGCCUGGCUGACCGGUCCGCCUCACCGCGUGCACUGGUUCGGCCGGGCCUUUCCUUCUGGAGAAUCUCAUGCCCUUUACUGGGUGUGUUGGGGAACCAGGACUUUUACUUUGAAAAAAUUAGAGUGUUCAAAGCAGGCCUAUGCUCGGAUACAUUAGCAUGGAAUAAUAGAAUAGGACGUGUGGUUCUAUUUUGUUGGUUUCUAGGACCG